UGCUCUCGGGUGACGAGUGGCGGACGGGUGAGUAAUGUCUGGGAAACUGCCUGAUGGAGGGGGAUAACUACUGGAAACGGUAGCUAAUACCGCAUAACGUCGCAAGACCAAAGAGGGGGACCUUCGGGCCUCUUGCCAUCAGAUGUGCCCAGAUGGGAUUAGCUAGUAGGUGGGGUAACGGCUCACCUAGGCGACGAUCCCUAGCUGGUCUGAGAGGAUGACCAGCCACACUGGAACUGAGACACGGUCCAGACUCCUACGGGAGGCAGCAGUGGGGAAUAUUGCACAAUGGGCGCAAGCCUGUUGCAGCCAUGCCGCGUGUAUGAAGAAGGCCUUCGGGUUGUAAAGUACUUUCAGCGGGGAGGAAGGUGUUGCGGUUAAUAACCGCAGCAAUUGACGUUACCCGCAGAAGAAGCACCGGCUAACUCCGUGCCAGCAGCCGCGGUAAUACGGAGGGUGCAAGCGUUAAUCGGAAUUACUGGGCGUAAAGCGCACGCAGGCGGUCUGUCAAGUCGGAUGUGAAAUCCCCGGGCUCAACCUGGGAACUGCAUUCGAAACUGGCAGGCUAGAGUCUUGUAGAGGGGGGUAGAAUUCCAGGUGUAGCGGUGAAAUGCGUAG
This 618-nucleotide ribosomal RNA is filed under the name uncultured Gammaproteobacteria bacterium. RNAcentral's name for it is "bacterial SSU rRNA". It matches the Rfam family "Bacterial small subunit ribosomal RNA", at positions 79 to 693 of the family's 1533-position model. The record is from RNAcentral. Lineage: Bacteria; Pseudomonadati; Pseudomonadota; Gammaproteobacteria.